AACGAACGCUGGCGGCAUGCCUAACACAUGCAAGUCGAACGAGACCUUCGGGUCUAGUGGCGCACGGGUGCGUAACGCGUGGGAAUCUACCCUCAGGUUCGGAAUAACUCAGAGAAAUUUGAGCUAAUACCGGAUGAUGACGUAAGUCCAAAGAUUUAUCGCCUGAGGAUGAGCCCGCGUAGGAUUAGGUAGUUGGUGAGGUAAAGGCUCACCAAGCCGACGAUCCUUAGCUGGUCUGAGAGGAUGAUCAGCCACACUGGGACUGAGACACGGCCCAGACUCCUACGGGAGGCAGCAGUGGGGAAUAUUGGACAAUGGGCGAAAGCCUGAUCCAGCAAUGCCGUGUGAGUGAUGAAGGCCUUAGGGUUGUAAAGCUCUUUUACCCGGGAUGAUAAUGACAGUACCGGGAGAAUAAGCUCCGGCUAACUCCGUG
RNAcentral lists this ribosomal RNA (433 nucleotides) under uncultured bacterium. RNAcentral's name for it is "partial 16S ribosomal RNA". It matches the Rfam family "Bacterial small subunit ribosomal RNA", at positions 29 to 507 of the family's 1533-position model. The record is from RNAcentral.